Molecule: long non-coding RNA, 1240 nt
Organism: Cyprinus carpio carpio
Lineage: Eukaryota; Metazoa; Chordata; Actinopteri; Cypriniformes; Cyprinidae
Source: Ensembl
ACAAAACAUAGACAAAUACAAAGCAAGCAAGAAAAAAAUAAAGACUCGAUGACAAAAAAGAAAACAAAAAGGAAGCUGGGGGUGGACAAAGGCAGGAGUGUCUGGCUGCAGGAAAAAAGAAAACAAGAGAGACGCUUUUGUGAGGAGAGGGUGCGGAGGUUCGAAGAGGACUACUCCAGUGGUAUGACCUGGAUUUCUCCCUCUCUAGGCCCAUGCUGUGCACAGUUGGGGGGCCUGAAGCUCCAGCAGCCACUUAUUUAGGGAAAGAAAAGCAAAAUCUUCAGUCUUCCAGCCUCACUUUCUUGUUACAAAGCCACUGAGGACUGAACACGGUCUUGGUCUGGUUAUUAAUUUUCUUAAGUUUUUUUUUAACGUCAUUGUAUAUCCUUCUGGACCUAGACAUCAAACCCGGAUCAGGAGAUUCCAGUUUGAGUUAAUCGACAUGCAAAUAUUCCAGCCAUUUCAUGACUAGCUUGGAAUAAUAUAUAUUUCUGAGGAGGAGAUGUAGAUCUGAGGUAUGUAAAGUUAUGGGUUCAGUUAUAACCAAUUCUGUGUAUCGGAACGCUAUUCUGACAAUACACUGAGUUGCUAAUAUUUGAGGAUUCCCGCUCAUUAUAAAAGCAUAAUGAUAUAAUGGGUUUGAGGAGAAUUGUCAUAAUUCGAUCAAUGCGGUACCUGAGGUAGAAUCGUACAGCUUUUAGAAGCUCAUCAAUAUUUGGCUCACCUCUCUGGGUGUGCAGUAUAAGAGCAGCUUUGUGGUGAAAUAUCAUUUAAAGUCAGCAUAUGCUCACAUUUUCAUAUUCUUGUUGGCUCGAGUUCAAAUCCUUGCCAUAGUGGAGAGUCUGGGAUGUUUGGUUUGGUGGGAAGCCAAUGCUGAAAAUGCCAUAAUAGUCACUGCGGGCCUAGCAGCAACUAAAUUUACAACCUAUUCAGAACACAUGAAUAUGGGUUUGAAUACAGGCUAAAUUGUUUGAAAUUUCUCUGGUCUAAAUCUGUGAUUUAAAAUCAACCCUGAAAAAAAAUACACUUUCCUCAGCUGGGUGAAAAUGAAAACACGACAAAGAACUGCAUCUGUGAGUGCAAUAUAACCAAAGUGUAAAUCUUAGUCUUUGUAGUAUCUUUGUGCUGUUAGAUUCAACACAAGCAAGGGCAUGCAUGAAAUGGGCUGUUUCGCUGCACGUUGCAGAAUAUCAGUUUAGGGUGAUUACAAGACUUCAAUGCAAACUGUUAUUAGAUGAAG